CCUCUUGCACUGAAGACUGAGUGAAAGUGGUAUGUGAAGAUCUGCAGGCUCAAAGAUAUCUCAGUGCUUGCCCAUGUCAGCUGGUACCAACACAGUGAUGAUCUAGUGAUUGUAUGCCAUGGUGGUGAGCAGCUGGAGAUCCCAAGCAAAUCUGAAUCCUGAAUGGCUCCAGCAAUCUCUAAAAUAGCACAUCUAAAGCCACGUCAGUCUCCAUUCCCCAGCUUCCAGAUGGUUGUACUCCUUGGACAACUGCUUGCAACUGUAUUCAUCUUGCUUCUUCCCAUCUGUGAAGAAUUGGUAUUUGAACCCUAUAAGUCUGAUAUGGUAUUUGCUGUAAUCACUGCA
Molecule: long non-coding RNA, 345 nt
Organism: Neopsephotus bourkii (Bourke's parrot)
Lineage: Eukaryota; Metazoa; Chordata; Aves; Psittaciformes; Psittacidae
Exons: 3
Source: RefSeq, a predicted model, not a curated record